Molecule: long non-coding RNA, 1384 nt
Organism: Oxyura jamaicensis (ruddy duck)
Lineage: Eukaryota; Metazoa; Chordata; Aves; Anseriformes; Anatidae
Exons: 3
Source: RefSeq, a predicted model, not a curated record
UACAGAGAAGCCUGUACAGACAGUUUUUACUAGACUAAUGUCUCAUUUUUAUUCCAGACACUCUGGAUUACCACCUACAGUGUAAGAUGCUCCCUGGGAAUGCUUGUUAAAAGGAAGAAGUACUUCUGUCUGCAUCUGGUGAAGUCAGCCCCAAAGUAGAUGAAAUACUAAACAGCACCAGCCAGAGAUUAUGCAUCCUGAUGCUCAUAGUGUCCUGACUACUAUUGGAAAAUGGUUGUCCAUGUAUUUUUGUUAAUGAAUUGACCAGAUGGAGAAAAAAAUAGAGAGUAUAAUAUGCAGAAAUCCCUAUUAAAAAAGGUACUUAGACUGUUUUCCCUAUGCUAUAUCAGAUCAUUUUGUAAAUAGUAUAGGUGUCAGCUACUGCUCAAGAAAAAGUAUGAAGGUCAUACUAUUCAGCUUUGUUUGUAAUAUAGAUUUUUUUUUUGGCAAAUUAUUUUCAUGGCAGUCUGUAAGCAAGCAGUGUAUCAGAUUUGUUGGGUACUUUUGCUCAGAAAAUGUAGAAUGUGUUGGCAUUCAACAUACUAUGUAUUAUCAAGACUUUCUUGUAAUGGAAAGAAAUAUUAUAGGACAAGCAAAGUCAAAUUCUGUAUUAUACUCUACUUACUUGGAAAGACAGAUGCAUUUUUUUGGGGGGGGUUGGGAGGGGUGGGGAGUGCUGAGAAAAUUUACUGUCUUUAUCUGACCAGGUUUGUCGUGGCAUUUGGACUUGUGUUGAGCUGAAAUAAUUUUGUGUAGUACAGGGACUCCUACCUUAGCAAAUGUGAAAACAAGUGUGUGAUGUUUACUGACUUCUCUUUCCUGGCAGUAAUUAACCAUAUGUUUGAAACAGAGCUUCCUCAUUCUCUAAACAUCUUUCUGCUUAACCUAACAGCUGGGGCACAUGUGAGGUAUCUUUCCAUCCCACUGAGGUGCCUCACUGACUUCAGAGAGAGAUCUAAGAUGUGAGAAUGUAAAACCAUACCUCACCUAUUUUAAAAGCCCAUACAUCCCAAAACAGGAAAAAAAAAAAAAAAAAUAGCUUUCAUACAUGUAUUUCAUGACAGUCCAAUCAGAAGUAAAACAGAAAUGUUGCUAAGAGAAAUGGUAGGCUAUGCACCAUCAAACCUGUGGCAUACAUGAUCUGACUUUGUGUUCAUUAUUAUGUCAAACAUGACUGAUUCCAGACAAAAUCUGGGAUCUUUUAAGUAUAUUGUUCUUCAGCCUCAUAGAAGGAUUAUCCUGUUGAAUGAAGUAUGGUUGUUUAUUCCAUUUUAAGCACAAAUGUUGUUUAAUGGAUUGAAAUGCAUGUAUGUCUUAAAAAAUUGGGCUGCAACUGCAUGGGCUUUUGACCUGCAUAGAAGUGCAUUUUGCAUUUUGAAGUGAA